This 253-nucleotide ribosomal RNA is filed under the name uncultured bacterium. RNAcentral's name for it is "partial 16S ribosomal RNA". It matches the Rfam family "Bacterial small subunit ribosomal RNA", at positions 524 to 776 of the family's 1533-position model. The record is from RNAcentral.
UACAGAGGUCUCAAGCGUUGUUCGGAUUCAUUGGGCGUAAAGGGUGCGUAGGCGGUCGUGCAAGUCGGAUGUGAAAUCUCAGGGCUCAACCCUGAAACUGCAUUCGAUACUGCGUGGCUAGAGUGCUGGAGAGGAGACUGGAAUUUACGGUGUAGCAGUGAAACGCGUAGAUAUCGUAAGGAAGACCAGUGGCGAAGGCGAGUCUCUGGACAGCAACUGACGCUGAGGCACGAAGGCCAGGGGAGCAAACGGG